UUCAUAGGGUAUGACCUUUUCCAUCUGCCUGGGUCUCAAGAGUGAGGAUGACAUGGAGUAGAGCAGCAGGAGAAGCCCUCCACUUGCCCACUGGCUUGGAAAUGCUCGCACUGUGAGGCACUUGGGAGAUUAUCAGAGUCAAGAAGAAAUGGCCGAGUCACGUCUUCUGGCUAAUGCUCGCCCCAGGGCAUCCACUGGAUUUUGGGCCGCACUGAUGCCAUCUGUAACACAGCACCUGGAAUACGGACAACACGGCUGCACAAACUGCAUCCCAUGUUUAGAGGAACGUCAAAGGAGGCUUCAGUACUCGCCAGCGCCCGGGAGAAGCUGCUCCCUCAGCUUGCAGACAUGUAGGUAUCCUCAGAGAGAGCCUCAGGUGUGCCGGGCGGCUGCAAUACUUCACAUUGGCAUUGCUCUCUACGGCUGAAAACAACUCUCUGCCUGUCCACGCUCCCCUCCUUCCCUCGCAGCAUGCACGCGAGUGCGCGCGCGCACACACACACACACACACACACACACUCCCUCCUCUGAGGGACUCUGGCAGCUGGAUUGUGGUCCAAUGCACACGCUAUAUAUACUGCUGCUCAUGCAUAUUAAUCAGCUCUCAUUGACUAUUCAUAACAGACAAUGAUACAGAAGCUAUAAUUGCCAACUAUGACAGUUGAAAUUUCUCUAAUUAACAAGCAAGUGUUCCAGAGAUAGGGAAUAAUAAAAGACACUAACAAUUUUGCAAGCCAUUUCCUGGCACUUACAAAUAAACAUGACUGCAUUUUUAGUAAGGUCUCCUAGGAUAAUCCCUAAUGCAUUUAAGCUAAGUAGAAAUUCAUUUUUAAAUAUAUCAUAAAAUUUCUGAUGAUAUAAAUGUAUUUAAUGCUGCAGAUAAUGAUGGCAUAUAAAUGGGUUUUAUAGAAUGCACAUGUUUUGAAUAAUGUUCAUAUAAUAUUUAGCGCUUUACUAAGUUGCAGGAAAAAUCCUCCACAUAUGAAUAAAAUACAAAAAUUUAAAUUGCGAGAUAUAUGCUGCAUAUGCAAAGUUAACCAGGGGUUGUUAAGGAGAGAGGCUGCCCUAAAGGUGAGCAAGAGGAUCAUCUUUGCUAAAGUGCAUUUUUAAUUCCCAAAGCAGAAAGUUAUUUUUUUCAAGGGCUGCCCAGCCCACUGGAAGAAAGAGAAGCGACCAGCUUCGUGCCAUCUCCAUGGCUAUGUAGAUGUUGCAGAUAUCUCAGAGCCCAUGCCACCCAGCUAAUUGCCACUGGCCACAACAGAUCUGUACCUACUCUGUAUCUGCCUAGACUUUGCCCUGUGCCCUGUGUCAGGAGAACAGGGAACUGUAAUCACAGACCGAAAGAAGGUGAGCACAGAUGGCAUUUAAGGGUUUUAGUCCUUGCUGUGUUGUUUCUUGACUCCCUUUCAUUCAGCUUCUGUCCCCCCAAGUUUGAUGGCUUUAAAAAAAAAAACCUUCUUUUUUUAAGUGAUUGCCCCACUACCUGAAUGAAAUGCACAGGGGCCAUUUUUUUGGAACCAAAAUUGUUGAUACGUGGAAUUCUCACAGUUGCUCCCACAGCCUUCCCCCUUUCAUUUUAGAAAGGUUGAACUGUCAGGCGGACUCCCACGUCUCCUGUCACGUGGCCUGACGAAUAAUGGUACCUUUCUCUGGGAGCUGAGAUACACCUGUGACGUGAUUAAACCAGUCCCAAUAAAACCCCGAGUGGGCUGGCAGCCAGCACAUACAUCUGGUCCCCUGUUUGGACCUGGAAGAUGCAGCAUGACUGUGUGGCUUGGCUCUGCUAACAGCCCUGGCUUGCUGGAGGGGAAAGAAGAGAGCCUUGGUCUCACGCCCUCUCCUGGUGUCCCUGUCUGGGCUGCAGCAGAAAGCUGAGGCACGCAACAAGGAAAGGAAGCCACGGAUGGAGCGGGCCAGUGGCAGUGACCUCUCACUUGCUUUGAGGCUGGCAGGGCCCAUGAGCAAGUUAUUAGGACCUCAGCUUCCUAAUCUCCAAGUAUGUCUCACACUAACUGCCUGCAGAGUUGUGCUGCAGGGAUGUGACACAAGCUGCUCACCUGGCCUCAGAGGUCACACUUGUUCACAUGCCUCGCCUCAUUCCCAGAGCCUGCCAUCAGCGAGUUUGCUCUCUCCUUCUCCAACUUAGAUCUCAUCCCCGUCCACUUCCGUCUGUUGCCCAUCCUCCUGUCCCCCAUCCAGUGGACCCACCGUCUAGUCUCACCUGGGAGAGAGCCUCUGUCUGCUUCCUUCCGCCUCCCCAUGAGUGACCCCUCCUCCCAACUCACUGUCCACACACCUGCCAGGUUGGUCCUUACAAAGCAGAAAUGAGAUCAUUUCUUUUGCUCACUUCAAAACCCUUCAAUGGCUUCUCACCACACUUGGAUUAAAACCAAAUUCUGCACUAUGGCCUCCAGUGUCCUGUAAAAUAUGGUCCUUGCCCAUCAAUUUCUCCAUUCAUCUCCCCCUGCUCCACUGCUCACCUCACUCCCUCCAGGACAUAGCCUCCCUUAGGGCCUUUGCCAUUUUACAAAAAUUUUUUUAAAUUGAAGAGUAGUUGAUACAUAUCAUUAGUUCAGGUGUACAACACAGUAAUUCUGCAAUUAUAUAUGGUAUGAAAUGCUCACCAUGGAAAGUGCAGUUCCCACCUGUCAUCAUGUAAAGGUGUCACAGGGGGGCUGACAUGCUCCCUGUGCUGUGCUUCCCAUCCCCAUGGCUUCUUCCUCUAGUAACUGGAAGCUUGUUCCUCUUAAUCCCCUUCACCUAUGCUGCCAUCCCUCCACCCCAUCCCCUGUGACAACCAGCAGUUUGUUCUCUGCAUUUAUGGUCUGUUUCUGCUGUUCAUUUGCUCACUUCAUUUCUAAGAUGCACAGGUGAGUCAGAUCCUAUGGUAUUUGUCUCUGUCUGACUUGCAUCACUCAGCAGAAUGUCCUCUCUGGCCGUCCAUGCUGUCAUGAACGGUAAGUACAUUUGGGGUUCCCUCUGCCAGAACUGUUUCUCCCUGUCUUUGUACCCCCUUAACACUCCCAUCUCAGCACAAAUAAAGCCUCUUUAGAGAAGCCUUUGCGGGCACCCCAAAUGAAUUCUGUCUCAAUCCUCCAAAUUAUGGGAUCUGAUCAUCCCAUUCACUUCCUCAGCAUCUCCCUUUAAAAUGAGUAAUGACCCUGUUCACUUUUGCUUAUUUUGUGACUGUCUUCUUGCCCCAAAGGUAGGGGCCAUGUGUGAAUUUCCACUACAGUUCAGCUCUGGGAAGGUGCUGGGGAUGCACCUGUCUUUUGGCUGAGUGAAUAGAGGCAGGCUGGCCCCGAGGUGCCACAGACUCAGACAUUACAGUGCCAACGAGAAGGGCCGCAUGCAGAGGUAAAGGGUGUGCUUGGGUCCCCACGAAGGAACCCUGAUGGGUUUUCCUCCCCCAGGGCUGUGGACUUUAAAUUACUUCCUUGCAAGGUUUUGCAUUUCACAGUAGCUCUUCUCCAGCUUUUUCCUGCACACCCACAAACCAGUGCAGAAGUGGGCCCUUAACUAAAUGGAUAGGGAACUUAGGCAAAUCCCUUUACUCUGUUAAAACUCUCAGAGCUAAAUCACAGGCCAGGAGAGUUUUAUCACCCAUUGCCCUGGACUUCAAAGCAGUGUUUCUCAAACUUCUGGGUCUUUGGAACCCCUUCAUACUCUUAAAAAAUUUUGAGAACCCUCAAUGGCUUUUGUUUAUGUGGAUCAUACCUAUUGAUGCUUAUCAUGUUAGAAACAAUCAAAUUCAAAAAUAGUUUUUCUUCAAUUCAAAUCAAAGAACAAUGAUGAACCCAUUACCUAUUCAUUAAAGUAACAUUUCCAUGAAAUUUUUUUCCAAAAAAGUAAUUUUUUGUAAAGAAUGACAUUGUUUUACAUUUUUAUAAAGUUGUCUUGCUUAAUUGAAGACAACUGGCUUUUCACAUUUGCUCCUGUGCUGAGUCAUUUCUGGUGUGUCAUAGAGAAGUCUCUAGAAAACUCUACUGGACUGUAUGCUCAUAACAGAGUAAGGGUGAAAGAGGAACCUGACAUCUUAGCAUUUUUAUGUAGUUAGUUCUGUCCUCACAGACCCUCCCCAGACCGCCAAGUACCCCAUGGUGCCUGGCUCACACUCUGAGAACUGCUGUGUGACAUAUUACUGGAACGUAUGCUUGGAAUCAACAAUAAUGCCAACACCCACGUUCCCAUUAUGCCCAAAACAAAACUUUACUGAAGUGAUGAUUUGCCUUAAAAAUACCCUUUACUGUGGAAAAUAACUUAGAGCACCUAGAAUAGUCUCAUUGUCACACUGUUGUUUCCUGAGGGUGUGUAAGAAACACCCCACUGUAUGAAAGGAUUGUGUGUCACCUGUACUGUCCUGCACACCAUGGCACUGAACACCACAGAUCUGAACGGUACAGAGCAUCUUAGUGCGUUAGGGACAGGAAGCUAUUUACAAUAUAACUGUUUUUGACAGAACAGCUGUCCCCAUAAACAGGAGAAACUCCUGGCCGAACAAAGGCACACACUAUCUGGAGAAGGUGUUGCAUGUCCUCUUCAAGUCAGUGAUCGCAUUGUGGGAAAGCAUCUGAUAAGCUCGCCAGGGCCCCUCUGCCCCAUCAGAUGCCCACCUCCUCCUGUGGGCAUGAGAAGUACAGUGCAAAGCCAGGGCACCGAGGCCAUGCAGAGACUGUCAGACGGGAGAGGCACGGACAGUCAGGGCUGAAGGUGCCCUGGGAACACCUGUGUAAUCACUCUUUGAACUUCCGUAAGUCACCAGGGGAUGCUGCUGGAGUCACCAGGUGGAGACAUGGACUUAGACUCACUUAGCUGCAGGAAUAUAUCUACUUCGAGCAUAUCAUUUGCAGCACACAGACUGGGGUGUCUGUCUCAUACCUGUGAUGUGACCUUGUUCUUCCCGGUGUGUGAUGAGUGCAGGACCCCUCAAACCAGGCAGCCAGCUGAGCGAUCCCUUCUGGGAAGGGCCGUGACAAAAAAAGAACUCGGGCCAUGGGGCCAAACAGGAAACCAAGUCCGUAAGAAGCAACAGAGGCCUGUGGGGACCGGCACUGCUUGCCUCAGGGUGAAUCCCGCCUCACCCCAGGCCCUAAGUGCCGGCCCACUGGGUCUGCCUUGCCAUAGGAUCUUUUCAGCUUUCUUCUGGAUCACACUGAUUCACUAAUUUGGCUUCUUCAUCAUUCAAACCUCACUCUCAGUUUAAUUCCUACUGUACAAUGCAGCUACACAAACACAAACAGCUGAUAAGCCCACCACCCUGCAGACCCAGUCCAAGCUUGCAAGCAUGUGGCCCCGGCUCCGGCCUCCUCUGUAGUCUGGCAGCACUUCCUGGGUUAGAUUCCUUCGUGCCUCCAUAUCUGUGCACCUGCUGGGCCUUGGCCUGGACUGUCCAACUCCAUCAUCUUUGCCCCUUAAGCCUCCCCUUUCUGCCCCAGUGACAGGGACCCCCAGGGCACACUGCACUUCUGCUGCCCCCGUAUGGCACAGUUCACACUGCAGGGUCCUCUGCCUUUGCGUCACUCCUCCUUCACUGGAGAUGGCUCUGCCAGUGCAAGGUGCAGGCCUAACUCAGCUACGCAUGCCCACCUCUCCCCGCAACCACAGAUGCUCAAUAUACAUCUGAUGCAUACCUUCAGCAUCUGGUAUUACUGAGCGCCUGCUCUGUACCAGGAGCUCUCCUGGGUUCUGAGAAUACAACAGUGACCCAAAUGGACAAAGACGUCUGCUCUCUGCCAUGAGAAGAUGAGGGCCAUAAACCUGGAAAUGGCACUUUUCAUUCCUGCCAGGGUCUGAAUGUGUGUGCCCUCCCCAAAUUCAUACACUGAAAAUCCUACUGCCUAAUGUGAUGGCAUCAGGCCCGGGGGGCCCUUGGGAGGAGCUCAGGGCAUGAGGGUGGAACCCUCAGGAAGGAAUCAGUGCCCUAGGAAGACAGACCCCACAGAGCUCCCGGCCCUUCCAUUGGGUGAUGACACAACUCACCGUCCGCGACCGAGCGGCAAGCCUUCACCCAGUCACGCCGGCACGCUGAUGGUGCACCACCACCUCCGGAGCUUGGGGCAGUCAGUGUCUGCUGUUUAUAACCACAGAGUCUGUGUUCCUUUGUUUCAGGAUGAGGACAGCACCAAGCAGUACUCAGAUUCACGAGAGCAGCCCUAACGGCCUAAGAGGAGCACCUUUUGUAGAACUGAAAAUUGCUCCUACAAGUCCUGGCCAGAGACUCAAAAUCACCAUGUGCUGAGGAAACGGUUUAGUAAUUUCUAGUUUGACCCUCACCUUUGUCAAGGGGACUUUCAUCAGCUUGACUGAACCACAUUUAGUAAGUUCUCGAACUGAUCCUUGAACAAGGGGUAGGAAUUGCUAGAAAGCUAAGUGUGGAUGAAAAACAAAUCAUCGUAGUGAAGGGAAAAAAAAAUUCAAGGAUGUUAGAACACACACACGCUUAAUGUCAGAAGAGUUGAAAAAAUACAUAUUAGUAGCUAUGAGUGCACUUUUGUUUCUGAAAAGCUAUAUAAGCUCAGAACAUCUGCUUGGGACCUCAAAGCUUAUUUUUAAAAAUGAAAGGAUAUUUUUCUCUUGCCAAAUUGACUAAGGUGCUCCUGUGCUGAGGGUGUUUCCUCUGGGCUCCCGGAGACUGAGAGCUCACCCCUCGCACCUGGAGGACUCUGGGGACGAAGCGUGCACCGAGCCUGGGAGGGAGCGGGCAGCAGGGGGGGGGGGCAUGCAGCUGCUGUGCCCUCCCCGCAGCCGCCACUCAAACACCACAUGCCGAGGAGCAUCGGCUCCAGGAGGCACUCAGUGGGCCACAAACCAGCUGCUGGGCCGGAAAACAGCAAGAGCGACAAGGACCAGUCACGGGGAGGCCGGAACACGGACAACUUUGCUGAAGGCAGCCAGUGUCCAAGAGCUCGGAUAGGCUUUGACUUCAGCAGAACAUGCCCAUUUCCUAAUGGCCUUGGGGCUUGGGGACGCUAGUGGGGAUGCUUUUGUCCCUUGGAGGCCCCAGGCACGUGUGUGUUUCUGGUGGUGUUAGUGCCUUUUCCUACCAUUACAACAACGUGUCUGCCUCCAUUUCUCUGGUGAGAUUUGAAAUUCCUGGAGGGUGGAUACCUGAGUCACCUCUGUGACCCCUGAAAAGCCUGGAACAAUAUCAAACCCCAAGGAGGCCUUGCCAGGUGUGUGUGGGUUUGUCACAAAGAGGAGAGAGCACGCACAUGCAGGUCUGGGGCUGUGAGUGGCCCAGGGAACUCAGCCCAGUGCACUCCAAUGACUUGCAGAGGUCAAGAAAUUCACCGCCUCCUGGGAACCUGGUUUCCCCACCCUACAGGACUGCAGCUUACAGGACCCGUGGGGCCCUGGUGGUGGGUAGAGGGCUUAGUAAACAAGACCAAGCUUGGAAAGUUCUUGGAAGGCAGCCUGUUAGGUGUGCAAUAAACCAAAAGGAAAAUAACGCACUUGGAGAACCCUGAGUCCCUGCUAGUGUGUCCCAGGGGUCGGCAGGCUUUCACUGUAUAGUGCCGGAUGCAUUAAAUAUUUCCAUUUUGUGGGUCAAGAGACAAAAUCAAGGACACUAUGUAGGAAUUUCUAUAACAACCAUUUCCAUCUGGAAAUAGGCUGCUGUCUAGAUCUGGCCUGUGGACCUUAAUAUGCCAAGCAGACUAUCACAGACUGAGCCAGGAGCUCUUUGGUACUCACUGACUGAUAUGCUGGGGCAGACACCCCUCUCGUCCCCAUUUUAUGCAAGAGGGAACUGAGGGUCAGGGAGGCAAAGUGAUUUACUCUGGAGCACACAGCUCUGCAAAGGCAGAGAUGAGAUGGGGUUGAGUCCGGGUAACCCCAAAACACGUGAGCUGCUCUGUGUGCAUUUGUCUCCUGAGACCUACACGUUCACGAUGGAUGCUGGGGCAUGAAAACAGGCUGCAGAAGCUGGCUUCUUGUUGGGUAAUGGCAGGAGAUACUAAAGAAAACAAUCUAAGAAUCGCAAUGUACUCACGAUGUUCCUGAUCAACAUGCAAAAUCUGUAAAUAAUUGGCCUGAUCAAUGGGACAAAGCACGGCUUGCUGACACUGUGAUGUGUUCCUAUCUCACUGUGAGUAUUAUUUUCCCUUUUCAUAUUUACAGUCACCCAGCAGCCUGACCCCCAGCACUCCUACCAAUCCUGGGGGAUAUGAAGUAUCUCAUGGCCCCACGCAGCCUCUGUGCCCAUACAAAUGCAACAGAUGCAUCAAAAGCUUCCUUCUGAGUGGCAAUAUGGGGGUGACAAAUACCCUGUGAGUCACCUGAGGCCCACUGGGAACCGCGUGGGUCUGCACCAACCACGGGGCAUGGGGUUCCACCUGACAGCGGGAAAGAGGAUUUGAGGCCUGGAGCCCAGGCAGCAGAGAGGGAGAGAAGGAGGUGUGACCGCAAGAGGCGUGUGAACACAGAGGCAGGGGAAGGGAAGAUGCCUGAGAGGCAGCGGGACAGGACUUGAGGAAUGAAGGUGGGCCACACCUGUCCUUCAAAGUCAUGGAUGGCAUAAGCCUGGCCUAGGCGGAGGAGAGGGAACUUGGAGGGAAGCAUGUGAUGGUAGAGAACAGCCCACACAGGGCACAUGGAGGAAAAGGGGAGGGGGAGCCCCAGAACUGGAGCUGAGGGAUACAGGAAAAAGGCACCACUGUGUUCUUGUGGAGGCAGAGAAACGACCAGAAAAACAGGCUGGGACAAAUGUACAUAAAUGGACAACUGAGCAUCACACAACCUUGGAGGGACAGAAGAGAAGAUCUGAUCUCAUCCCAUUCAGUUAGAGGUCAUAAAGUAUGUGGUGCAGUGCAGCAGCUUCCAAAUUUUGGAUUAUGUGCUGAGAUCUGACCUACAGGGGCGUGCGUCCCUAUGUGAUGAGCACGAGAAGGAACAGAGUAAAGGCUGUCCAGGGACAUGGUCCCCACUGCCCUCCCAGGCCUCCUCGCUGGCUAGCUGAAGCUGGGCACACCCCGGUCCCUGUGGCGUGGCUUAUAUAUUAAAAUACAAACUGUAAGGGGUCUCGGUGUCAGGUCACACGUGGAGGCUGCAGGCCUGCCUCCCUCCUGUGCCUCUGGGGAGGCAGUGCCCCCCAACACUGGGUCUCCUGUGGGCUCACGUCCGGAGGGGGCAUGGGAACAAGGCUGCUCCCAGCUCACCAACAGCAACAGAGGAGAGCGGCAGUGGGCGUCAGUGCUGUGGGGGCACAAGAUGGGUGCAACUCACCUCCCAGCUGAUGAGUCCUCGCCUACCCUGAGCCGGACGCUGCUGUUUGGUAUUAAACAAAGCACACAACAUCCCCCCCUUGUGGAAGAGCCACCCGGCUUCUGGUGUGACGCUUCCCCAGGACUAGGCUCUGGCGGGGUUCACGGAUGGCUUCCCAGCUGUCAAAACCUAACAAUCCCUUGGUCCUUGGCCUGGGUAAUUUCUGCAGCAGUUUCUCCUGGGGGGCCUUCCCAUUUCUACACUGGUACACUCAAAAGUUGAUCUGCCACGGGUUUUGAAGUAUGGUCUCAACACUGUUUACUUCAUAUUUUUCUUUAAAGGUAGUUAAUUUGGUUUUCUUUAAAUAAAUGUAUUUUUGAAAGAAAAUUUAAUACUUCCUAUAAAUGGGAAACCAUUACUAUACAAUAAUCACAUGAAUUAAAAAAGACAAAAGGAGGUCAUUCUCAUACCACGCUGACUCUUCUUAUAUCCCAUCAUGUUUAACGUGCUGCUUGGAAUGA
Non-coding RNA from Manis javanica (Malayan pangolin), 9722 nucleotides. The record is from RefSeq and is a predicted model, not a curated record. NCBI's taxonomy places the organism in Eukaryota, Metazoa, Chordata, Mammalia, Pholidota, Manidae.